AGAUCGAAUGAGGAGAUUCAUCGUCAAUAUAUUUAAUAUAUAUAUAAGUUAUGAUGUAAAUUAUUUUUCUCUUUAUGAGUUUUAUAAUAUAUACAUACUUGUAUUAUUUUAAUGUUAAAUAUUUUCGACGUGCACUUCUUCUCUAGUAGGACGUUGCGACCCGUUAAAUGUUGAUCUAUGGCCUAAUUGGGUAGCCUUUAAUCAUAAAAAAUUAAAGACCAAUUUGUGUUUCCUGAUUAACUGUUUGGCGGUAAUCAUAUGAUAAUAAGUCGCAUAUUUAUAUGCGUUCAUACCCAUCGCAAGCGAGGCCAGUUUAUUAUCCUGGUAGUUACGGACAUAGUGCCGUCGCUAGGCCUGGCCAGCUGUUAGCUGUAUGGUGUUCUAGAACUGACUUAAAAAAAAAUUAUCGGUCGGCAAUGCUACUGCUUUGGGUACUUUCAGGACCCGUCUUGAAACACGGACCAAGGAGUCUAACAUGUGCGCAAGUCAUUGGGAUUUUUUUAUUAAAUUAAACCUAAAGGCAUAAUGAAAGUAAAGAUUAUCCUUGUGAUAAUUAAGGGGAGGAUGGUUUUAUGUUACGAUAUAUAACCGCACUCCCGGGGCAUCUCAUUCUCAUUAUGAGAAGAGGUGCACCAAGAGCGUACACGUUGGGACA
This 655-nucleotide ribosomal RNA is filed under the name Lysiphlebus fabarum. RNAcentral describes it as "eukaryotic LSU rRNA". The stretch from base 137 to 655 matches the Rfam family "Eukaryotic large subunit ribosomal RNA", at positions 1 to 816 of the family's 3401-position model. The record is from RNAcentral. Lineage: Eukaryota; Metazoa; Arthropoda; Insecta; Hymenoptera; Braconidae.